AAAAAAAGAAAGAAAUUGCAAGCAGGAAUGCAAAAUUUGGAGAAGUUUGGCUUUUCGGCGAUCACCGCGGUCGAGCCUGCGUAGAGAUCAUCUCCAGCUUACGACCAUAGAGUCUCAACAUCUUUCUAGAGUCUCAACGUCAUCAUUCCCUCCAGAUACACAAUUGCAGGGGGUCUCCAAACCCGGUCCAUGGACCAGCACCGGACUGUGGCAUGCCAGCAACUGUGCAAACAAGCCAAGCCCCAUCUGCGGGAUGCAGUGGCACGCGAAACCAGGCCCCGCUUUGGUCUGCAGAAAAACCUAUCUCCACGGAAUUGGUCCCUGGGGCCCAAAAGGGCAGGUCAUCUGAAUGCCAAUGGAACCAGGGUUAGACCUGGGGUGCAAACAUUCUGACAGCCACUAGGAGGCAGUAAAGGAUGACUGUGGGAGGCUGUGCAUUAAGUGGGAGCAGUUGGUAUGGUAGCAAUUAAAUGACCAAAGGAAAAGACAUCGAAUAUAAAGCAUGGAAUAAGAGGGCUGGAAGAGGCCUUGGAAGUUUUCCAGUCCAUCCCCUGCUCAAACAGCUGUCCAAUCUCUUAUUGAAAACUUCCACUGAUGAAGCACCCACAACUUCUGGCUAAGAAGGCAAUCAGGCUCAAGCAUUACCAUUUGAAUAAGGAACCAUGAUGCUCUUUGGCCUCUGCUCUACUUCUGUGUGUGUGUGUGUGUGUGUGUUUGUGUGUGUGUGUGUUUGUCUCCCUCCCUCCCUCUCACACACACAUACACACACCUAUCUAUCAUCUGUCUAUCUAUGUAUAUAUAAACUUCUACAAUGCCCUUCUCGCUGAGGUGACUCUUCCCAUAACCUUUCCAUCCCUGAUGCUUCUCACAGUCU
This is a long non-coding RNA of Crotalus tigris (Tiger rattlesnake), 874 nucleotides long. RefSeq lists it as uncharacterized. The record is from RefSeq and is a predicted model, not a curated record. The transcript is spliced from 5 exons. NCBI's taxonomy places the organism in Eukaryota, Metazoa, Chordata, Lepidosauria, Squamata, Viperidae.